UGGGCCCCACGGGGGGCAGCAGUGGGGAAUAUUGCACAAUGGGGGAAACCCUGAUGCAGCAACGCCGCGUGAGUGAAGAAGUAUUUCGGUAUGUAAAGCUCUAUCAGCAGGGAAGAAAAUGACGGUACCUGACUAAGAAGCACCGGCUAAAUACGUGCCAGCAGCCGCGGUAAUACGUAUGGUGCAAGCGUUAUCCGGAUUUACUGGGUGUAAAGGGAGCGCAGGCGGUGCGGCAAGUCAGAUGUGAAAAACCGGGGCUCAACCCCGGGACUGCAGUUGAAACUGUCGGAGUAGAGUGUCGGAGG
RNAcentral lists this ribosomal RNA (305 nucleotides) under uncultured bacterium. RNAcentral describes it as "bacterial SSU rRNA". It matches the Rfam family "Bacterial small subunit ribosomal RNA", at positions 332 to 655 of the family's 1533-position model. The record is from RNAcentral.